CGCAAGCCUGACGGAGCAACGCCGCGUGGGGGAGGAAUGUCUGUGGAUUGUAAACCCCUUUUCUCAGGGAAGAAGUUCUGACGGUACCUGAGGAAUCAGCAUCGGCUAACUCCGUGCCAGCAGCCGCGGUAAGACGGAGGAUGCACGCGUUAUCCGGAAUUAUUGGGCGUAAAGCGUCCGUAGGCGGCUUAUCAAGUCUGCCGUUAAAGACUGCAGCUUAACUGUGGGCCGGCGGUGGAAACUGAUGAACUUGAGUAUGGUAGGGGUAGAGGGAAUUCCCAGUGUAGCGGUGAAAUGCGUAGAUAUUGGGAAGAACACCAGUGGCGAAGGCGCUCUGCUGGGCCAUAACUGACGCUGAGGGACGAAAGCUAGGGGAGCG
Molecule: ribosomal RNA, 379 nt
Filed under: uncultured cyanobacterium
Lineage: Bacteria; Bacillati; Cyanobacteriota
Description: bacterial SSU rRNA
Rfam family: Bacterial small subunit ribosomal RNA
Source: RNAcentral